Molecule: long non-coding RNA, 3976 nt
Filed under: Triticum aestivum (bread wheat)
Lineage: Eukaryota; Viridiplantae; Streptophyta; Magnoliopsida; Poales; Poaceae
Description: long non-coding RNA (TAES_LNC022621)
Source: RNAcentral
AAGAACUUCCCAUCGAUGGAUCAAUGAUAAGAGAAAAAAUAUUACUCUAACCUAAACAAAUAAGGAGCCUAUUAUUAACAAACAAGGACAACCACCUCACGUGAGGAAAGUUCCAGAUCAGGAACAAAUACAUGCAAAUAAAACAAGUCUGAUUUGCACACGGUGCAUAAGUCUGAUUUGCACACGGUGUUGGCAUAUGAUUUGUAGCCGGUCUCAGCCACCAUAAUCCAAGACACCUAAAAGUAUAUAAAUAAGUACACACGGAUGCACAAGUACCCACCAAACAAUUAGAAGCCAACGACUACGACGACUUAAACACAUCACACGCGACUCAACGUCCAGACGAAAAAGCCACCUCCAGCCGCUUCACUCGACGCCCGACAUAGUCACGCGAAAGCACGCUCGACGCCCGACGAAGCGACGCCUGCUCCAAUCUAAGUCGAAAGAAUUGACGCCAAAGCAAAUCUAGCCUGAAUCAUCAGAUUUGGUAAUUGUUAUUUCACAAGCUUACUUUUGAUGGAUAGAAUCUUCAUAAAUACUAUAUCAAUUGAUAAAUUGUUCCCUGUUAGUUUUGAAUAUAUAAGAAUAUGGCAUACAAGAAGUUGAGCGACUUGACUACAAGCGGACAGAAUUGGAAUAUUCAAGUGAAAGUAAUGAGAAUGUGGGAUUCAGUGAAUCCUACGACCGAUGAGCUUAUUAGCCUAGAUAUGAUACUGAUGGAUGAGCAGGUCCGUUUUCUAAUAUAUUAAAUUAGAAUUUUUCUGUCAGAUGAAGAAACUUACUAACCCUAUUUGAUUCUUUUAACAGGGUGAAACAAUCCAUGCUACUAUCUGGAAGAAUCUUAUAGACACUUUUAGAUCAAAGAUCAAUGAAAAGUCUAUUUAUGCAUUCAGCAAUUUUAAGGUCGUGGAAUCCACAAAAUAUAGGCCAGUGAGCAAUGAAAUUAAAAUAUAUUUUGCAUACAAUACAAAGGUAAACGAAAUAAAAGGAUCUUCGGAAGUUUUCCCGGAAUAUUGCUUCGAGUUUGCUACCAUGGACACACUAGAAGAAAGGGCGGAAAAAGAUACACAAUGCUCAGGUAUGUUUAUGGAUGUAAUUACGACCUCCAAAUAAUGGAUAUUUCUAAUUUUUAUAUCACUAUAAUCUCCAAAUAUGCAGAUAUCAUUGGACUACUAACUCAAAUGAAGCCAGUGGAGACAAGAAUAACAAAAAGGAACCCACAACCUUCAUAUAUCCGCGAGAUUGAAAUCCUAAUGCCAAAGUAAGUGCAUAUGCAUGUCUCAAAUUUAACUAAACCUCCCCCAUGUGGUUAGCAUUAACUUCUUAGAUUAUAUUCUUUAGGGGUGAUAAAAUCAGAAUCACAUUGUGGGGAAAGGUUGCUUAUUUUUUGAUCAAGGAUGUAAUCGGCAGCCAAACUGUCCUUAUUAUCACAUCAACGAUGGUGCAGAGAUUCAAUGGUAAGUGCAUAAAUCUUACAUGCUAUUCUUAUCAGUUACAAAUUCUAACUGAAUGAUUAAAUAGGUUUGUGCCUAAAGUCAACGAGUGCCACAAGGAUAUAUAUAGAUCUGGAUAUACCAGAAACACAAGAACUUCUUGAUAGGUAUGAAACACCACCGAUUUAUAUUUUUUCACUCAUAAUUACUAAGUCAGGUUGAUUAAAGGUUGUAUAUUCUUAUUUACUUCAUACAUGUGCAGGAACUCAGCCGAAGAAACCUUACCAAAGAUGGGCAGUAUAGAUAGACGUAAUCAAGGAACACUAGAAGAACAGAUGUUUUAUAGGAGGAGAACAUUAGAAGAACUUACUGCAAUGAGGCAUGGAAACCAGCCAGACCAGGUAACGCAUCAAAAUUCCAAUAAAUGAUAUCAUCAAUCUCCGUGAUACGUGAUAAGACCUGCAUGGACAAUUCAUUUAAUAUUAGUUACAAUGAAACCAUAUUUUGCUUAUAUAUGCCUCUUAAUCCCACACCCCACCCAAAUGCUAAUGUUGUUUUAUUAGGAUUUUGUGUUCACCGUCAUAGCUACAGUGGAUCGUUUGCAAGAAAAUAUUCAAUGGUGGUACAUGUCAUGUGAUAAGUGCCACAAAUUGGCUACCAAGGAAACCGACAAUUAUUAUUGCAAGAGUUGUGGUAUAUAUCCAGAAAAGGUCACACCAUGGUAAGCAUAUUAUAUUUCUAAAAUAUGAAAAAAAGUUAUAUUAUAUUUACUCUCCACUAACAGGAAUCAUGUGUUAGGUACCGUGUUCGACUCCAAAUUAGUUACCAUACAUCUACUACAAGUUGCACUUUAUUUGAUGAGGAGGCUGCAAGAUUGCUUAAUACAUCUGCAUCUAAUCUACUGGACACACAGGAUGGGAAAUCGGAAGAAGCGCCAAAGAUUAUUCAACAAUUAUGUGGAAAAAGACUCAUAUUUACAUUCAAGCUCAAUGAUAACAAUCUCACAUUUGGCACACAAAAUUAUGCCGUAAAAAGAUCAUUUGUGCCUGAUGAUAGGCUUGAGAUGCUCUAUUUGGACAAUAAAGCUGAGGAGGUAAAGCUUCAUUAACUUUUUACCAUUUUCAGAUUCCUUAACUAAUUCAUCUUAUAUAUGUUUCAUAGGAAUUGAUGGAUGAUGAGGUGGACACUGUGUUAAUGAAGAAGCAAAACAUGCCAGAUAGAAAGGUGAUUGUUUUUUUAACAAUGUACACACUUCAGAUUUUAGAGAUGUGUCUAAUUUUCAAAAUGUUUAUCUUUGCAGUCACAGAAUAAUAAAGUUUCAUCUGGCAAACUUUCAUGUGAACUGGUGCCUGUGAAAGAGGAGCCACAUGACGGCAAUGGGACUACAUUAAAUAAAGAUAAGCGUCAAGACAAAAUACCAUCGUCAUCACGUGAGCUCCACAGUGGCACUAAAAGGAGACUGAGAUCUGUUGUAAUAUCAGAUGAGUCAGAGGAUGAAUGCACUGAGACGAAUAUGCCUGAAAAAAAGGAAAAAGGUGUUUGCGGGAACAAGAAACAUGUUAAAGCAAAAGCCAACAAUACAGUGCUUGAAGAAGAAGAUGAAGUACCGAAAUCAAAGGCCGGGAGAAAAAGGAUGUUAUCCAGAUAAUUAGUGGAUCAGUAGCUUAUGAAAUAAAUAGUGCGACAGUCUAUUUGUAUCGACCAAGAUAAGUAAUAGUAUUUGACUCACAUCAACCAUGAUAAGAGGGAUACUUAUUAGAUUCAGGGUGUGGACGUUACCAAUGUUCUUAGUUUAAAACAGAUUGAUAACUUUCUUCAUGUAGUUUCCUUUAUGCACAUGCUAUUUUAGGAAAAUCUUUAGGAGGCCAACACAAUAGACAGGAACAUACUACAAGACCAGACUUUCACACAUUAGGAUUUACUUCACAAUUUGAAGAAACUAUACUUUAGCAAACCUAUAUAACACGAGCACAAUAGAAAGGAACAUACCUUGCUUCAUCAGUAACUUAAUAGCACGACUGGAUAUAAGCAAAUCAAUGGUGUCUUGCUGGCACAAGUGAGCUACUCAACAAACCUAUAACAAAUUUUAUAUCCAAGGUGACAGAUUAGCACACAGAAGGCAAGGACUUUGCAGUUUAAGAAAAUAGUUGACACAUAUGAACCAACUUGCGGUUCAUAAGGCCUUUAUUAAGAGAAAAGGCAUAAUUUCUUGCAAAGAAAAAAUUAAAAAUACAUGGAGUACAAUACUGCUAUGGAUAAAGUACAAGAAAUAAUUUUCAGUUGGCACUUACAGUUAGUAGUAGCCUGACCGCAAGAACAAUGAGUUAGUAUUGGCUUGACAACAAGAACAACGAGGAGGCCAGCAUCUCAUGGUCGUUAGCCGCUAUUUGUAUUCUUUAGAUGUCAGAUCUAAUAACUCACUCAGCAGUUGACUCGGUGAUUUCCCUCGCAGCCUCCUCCACUGGGCCAAACUACAACACCUCUGCCAUAGACCUCUAGCCGUAAGCCAAGAAGAGGUCAUCAGCUUGGCCAAAACUUGAGAA